RNAcentral lists this ribosomal RNA (408 nucleotides) under uncultured bacterium. RNAcentral's name for it is "partial 16S ribosomal RNA". It matches the Rfam family "Bacterial small subunit ribosomal RNA", at positions 28 to 526 of the family's 1533-position model. The record is from RNAcentral.
GACGAACGCUGGCGGCGUGCUUAACACAUGCAAGUCGAACGAAGUGGCGAACGGGUGAGUAAUACGUGGGUACCCUGCCCUCCUUUUUGGGAUAAGCCUUGGAAACGGGGUCUAAUACCGAAUAAAGGGGGAUGGGCUCGCGGCCUGUCGGCUUGUUGGUGGGGUGAUGGCCUACCAAGGCGGUGACGGGUAGCCGGCCUGAGAGGGUGACCGGCGACGUUGGGACUGAGAUACGGCCCAGGGUGCUACGGGGGGCAGCAGUGGGGGAUAUUGGACAAUGGGCGAAAGCCUGAUGCAGCGGCGCCGCGUGGGGGAUGAGGGCUUUCGGGUUGUAAACCUCUUUCGCUAUCAGACGGGUAGGUGGAGAAGAAGCGCCGGCUAACUACGUGCCAGCAGCCGCGGUAAUAC